This 524-nucleotide ribosomal RNA is filed under the name uncultured Hyphomicrobiales bacterium. Its description in RNAcentral is "bacterial SSU rRNA". It matches the Rfam family "Bacterial small subunit ribosomal RNA", at positions 355 to 897 of the family's 1533-position model. Lineage: Bacteria; Pseudomonadati; Pseudomonadota; Alphaproteobacteria; Hyphomicrobiales. The record is from RNAcentral.
UGGGGAAUAUUGGACAAUGGGCGCAAGCCUGAUCCAGCCAUGCCGCGUGAGUGAUGAAGGCCCUAGGGUUGUAAAGCUCUUUCGCACGCGACGAUAAUGACGGUAGCGUGAGAAGAAGCCCCGGCUAACUUCGUGCCAGCAGCCGCGGUAAUACGAAGGGGGCUAGCGUUGUUCGGAAUCACUGGGCGUAAAGGGCGCGUAGGCGGCCGUUCAAGUCGGGGGUGAAAGCCUGUGGCUCAACCACAGAAUGGCCUUCGAUACUGGAUGGCUCGAGACCGGAAGAGGUUGGUGGAACUGCGAGUGUAGAGGUGAAAUUCGUAGAUAUUCGCAAGAACACCGGUGGCGAAGGCGGCCAACUGGUCCGGUUCUGACGCUGAGGCGCGAAAGCGUGGGGAGCAAACAGGAUUAGGUACCCUGGUAGUCCACGCCGUAAACGAUGAAUGCUAGCCGUUGGCGCGCUUGCGCGUCAGUGGCGCAGUUAACGCUUUAAGCAUUCCGCCUGGGGAGUACGGUCGCAAGAUUAA